Molecule: ribosomal RNA, 253 nt
Filed under: uncultured bacterium
Lineage: Bacteria
Description: partial 16S ribosomal RNA
Rfam family: Bacterial small subunit ribosomal RNA
Source: RNAcentral
UACGUAGGGCGCAAGCGUUAUCCGGAAUUAUUGGGCGUAAAGAGCUCGUAGGCGGUCUGUCACGUCGGAUGUGAAAGCCCGGGGCUUAACCCCGGGUCUGCAUUCGAUACGGGCAGACUAGAGUGUGGUAGGGGAGAUCGGAAUUCCUGGUGUAGCGGUGAAAUGCGCAGAUAUCAGGAGGAACACCGGUGGCGAAGGCGGAUCUCUGGGCCAUUACUGACGCUGAGGAGCGAAAGCGUGGGGAGCGAACAGG